RNAcentral lists this ribosomal RNA (632 nucleotides) under Malassezia restricta. RNAcentral's name for it is "eukaryotic LSU rRNA". It matches the Rfam family "Eukaryotic large subunit ribosomal RNA", at positions 38 to 657 of the family's 3401-position model. Lineage: Eukaryota; Fungi; Basidiomycota; Malasseziomycetes; Malasseziales; Malasseziaceae. The record is from RNAcentral.
GCAUAUCAAUAAGCGGAGGAAAAGAAACUAACAAGGAUUCCCCUAGUAACGGCGAGCGAAGCGGGAAGAGCUCAAAUUUGAAAGCUGGCGUCUUCGGCGUCCGCGUUGUAAUCUCGAGACGUGUUUUCCGUGCGGCUCUAUGGACAAGUCCCUUGGAACAGGGCAUCGUAGAGGGUGAAAAUCCCGUACUUGCCAUGGAAGUACCGUGCUUUGUGAUACACGCUCCAAGAGUCGAGUAGUUUGGGAUUGCUGCUCAAAGUGGGUGGUAGACUCCAUCUAAAGCUAAAUAUCGGGGAGAGACCGAUAGCGAACAAGUACCGUGAGGGAAAGAUGAAAAGCACUUUGGAAAGAGAGUUAAAAGUACGUGAAAUUGUCGAAAGGGAAGCACUUGAAGUCAGCCAUGCUGCUUGAGACUCAGCCUGGCUUUUGCUUGGUGUAUUUCUCGGUAGCAAGCCAGCAUUGGUUUGUGUCGUCGGAGAAGCGUAUGGGGAAUGUGGCAUCCUCGGAUGUGUUAUAGCCCUGUGCAGGAUACGACGACGUAGACCAAGGAACGCAGUGUGCCCUCUGGGCGGGUCUUCGGACACCUUCACACUUAGGAUGCUGGCGUAAUGGCUUUAAGUGGCCCGUCUUGA